Molecule: non-coding RNA, 1991 nt
Organism: Parasteatoda tepidariorum (common house spider)
Lineage: Eukaryota; Metazoa; Arthropoda; Arachnida; Araneae; Theridiidae
Source: RefSeq, a predicted model, not a curated record
AAAAAAAAUGUUUACAUCUAUUUUUUUAUUUUUAAAUGAUUACUUUAUUAUGUAUAUCUUUUUAUUUUAAGGCUCGAGUAUGGCAGAGAGACUACAGAGAUUGAAGAGUAAUGCAACCUGAUGCGGCAUGUUAUACAGAGAUGACACCACCACUGAGUAUGCCUGACAACCCCAUAAAUGCAGUUACGACAAAAUUUGCGCAUACAUCAACUAACAAAUUGAGAUGUCCUAUAUUUUGUGUGGCAUGGACACCUGAAGGUAGAAGAUUGGUGCAUCUAGCGGUGAAUUUACUUUAUGAAAUGGAUUAACUUUUAAUUUUGAAGCUAUUUUACAGUGCCUUUGAUGACCACUUAUAUUAAUUGAGGUUCUCAUUAAUUGAAGAAUUGAAACAAUUCCAAACAUUUAAUCAUUCAGUACUUAGGAACAGUUAAUUUAGGUAACUUUAUGCGUUCCUGUUCAACGGUUUGAAUGUCACUCUGAUUGCGACUAUUUAGAGAAAUAUUAGCUUCCUGAAAGGAAUUAUUUGAAUCAAGUUCUUUGUUUAAAUUCUUAAUGAUGUUCUAAAUUUUGUUCUAGUUAUUUUUUUCUUUGUACUCUUCUAUACAUUUAAAUUCUCUUCAGUGUCAUCGAUUUUGAUUAAGCCCUCAAUCUGAAUAAUUCUUGAAGAUCUUCCACACUUAUGACCGGUUUUAGAAUGUCACUUUCGAUUUUUGCAAUUAUCUUUGUCACCGAAGCUCUAGCGAUGAUUUGUCUACUACUGAGAAUAUUUUACAUCUGCACUGUGGGCAGUGCGAGCCUGGUGUGUAAUUCGUAAUCAUCAGCUACCCCUGGGAUUCGAACUCGAUCCACCUCAUGAAGAUUCGAGCAUUCUAUCUCCUGAGCCUCCGUGGCUGUUUAAAAUAAUUUUAUUUUUUUAAAAAUUAUACCUUUUAUUUAUUUUUCUUUAUAACUUUUAAUGGUCUUAUAUCAGGUGGGCAUGAUUCAGAUAAUCUAAUAUCCAUAUUCAUUGAUGAAUGAUUUUGUGAGAGAAAAUAAUAAAUGUUUCUAAUGUGUUAAUAUGUCAACUAUACUGAAGAUUUGUUUUCAUUUCUGAAUUGUUUCGAACUAAUUUUAUUUCAGUUGAUAACUUCUCACUGCUUAAACUUAUAAUUUAAAUUUAAGCAGUACUGUGCUUUUCUUCGAAAUUAAACCGUAAUAUAUUAUUCAAUUUUUAAAGUGUUUCAAAUAAUUUAACAGUCCAGACAACUUAAAUUUGUGUAAUUAAGAUUACUGCUAUAGUUGAUAUUAUUAUGGAACUCAAUAUUAUAAAUUUAAUACAAUAUACUGUUUAAUGUUUUAAUAAAAUUGAUAUUAUUAUACCAUUUUAUAUUACCCCCGUUAUAAAUCAAUGUUCUUAAAUUUCUCCUGUUGUCCAAAUAUAGUUGAUUCUUGUUGUUGUCGGCCAUUGAGACAGAGCUGGUGCAAUUGUUCUUGUUUUCCAUCUUUAGCCAAUAAUUCUGCCACAUCCGCUUAUAGGGCGAACCCAUUCAUUUGUUUACAGAAUUUUGACCUGAACCACAGAAUCUCUAAUUCAGUACCCCAGAGGUAUUGAUUUGUUAUGGAGAACUUUGUAACCUGACAGGUUUAACAUGCACCAGUCACCAUUUACUACUCUGGCUGGUUGGACUCACAAAUGUGAGGUCCCUGCCAUCCAGGCUAUACCAGCCUAGUUGAUUUUUAAACUCGAUUUAUAAAAAUUGGUUUGUGUAAACAAUAGUAAACUAAAUUCAGUUUCCUUAAAAAUUUAAAUGUUUUAUUCUGAAAACCUUAGUUAUUUAUAGAGUUAUAAAAAUUUGUACUUUAUAUUUGCAAUUUACACCACAGUCAUAAAAUAUUUCAUUUCCAUAUAGUUAAGGUAAAACAGUAGAUUAAACAUGUGGGAGCCGUUUUUUGUAAUUAUAGUAUCAAAGUUAUUUUCAUUGUUUAUUUUCUUGUUUCUAAUUAUUGUAUGU